UUUUGUCAUAAGGUACAGACUCCAUAAUAAAACAUGGCGAAACAAAUUGUUGCUAUUCUAUUUUAUACUUAUUUUUCUGUGAUUCCAAAUACCGAAUUGAACUUCGUUUGUAAAGUCUGUCAGUCAUUCCAGCAAGUUGACUUAGUGCUCAGUCGCUUUCCAUCCAUUGGAUCCUUAUGCUGUCAAAAGCCUGAAACUCUUAUUUGAAGCCCACAUACAGUGCAACUAGACAAAUGUGCCAAGAUAAGGUAUCCUUUCUUAUGGACCAUAGGAUCUUUAUUUCCGAAUCUUAUAUGUAACCUGUGACUGCAUGUUUGUUAUGACGACCGCUUCUACAUCCAUUUAGAAGGCAACCCUGAGAGAUAGUUUCAGUGACAUGAAGAGUGUGAAGUGCCUGCCAUGCGCUUGUACAUUUACAAGACCUAUUUGAUGAAAGUCAAAUGCCUUACUGAAUUUGUCUCCCAAAAGCAUU
RNAcentral lists this long non-coding RNA (472 nucleotides) under Daphnia pulicaria. Its description in RNAcentral is "uncharacterized LOC124341551, transcript variant X1". Lineage: Eukaryota; Metazoa; Arthropoda; Branchiopoda; Diplostraca; Daphniidae. The record is from RNAcentral.